UACGUCGGGGGCUAGCGUUGUCCGGAAUCAUUGGGCGUAAAGAGCGUGUAGGCGGCCGCACAGGUCCGUUGUGAAAACUGGAGGCUUAACCUUCAGACGUCGAUGGAAACCGUGCGGCUAGAGUCCGGAAGAGGAGAAUGGAAUUCCUGGUGUAGCGGUGAAAUGCGCAGAUAUCAGGAAGAACACCCGUGGCUAAGGCGGUUCUCUAGUACGGUACUGACGCUGAGACGCGAAAGCGUGGGGAGCGAACAGG
RNAcentral lists this ribosomal RNA (253 nucleotides) under uncultured bacterium. RNAcentral describes it as "partial 16S ribosomal RNA". It matches the Rfam family "Bacterial small subunit ribosomal RNA", at positions 524 to 776 of the family's 1533-position model. The record is from RNAcentral.